RNAcentral lists this unclassified non-coding RNA (1089 nucleotides) under Hevea brasiliensis (rubber tree). The record is from RNAcentral. Lineage: Eukaryota; Viridiplantae; Streptophyta; Magnoliopsida; Malpighiales; Euphorbiaceae.
UGGAUUGCGGAGACGCCGUGUGCAUAUACACAGAAGAGAAGAAUGAUGGUAAUAGAUGGAUUAAUUCUGUGUUCAUUUUAGUAAUAAUUAUUGCUUCUCAAAGCCAUCCCUAAUCUGACCAGAACAAUCACCAAUACCCAAUUUGAAACCAGUUCAUUAGUGAAUUUACAGUUAACAAUCAUUUGCAUAUGCUCUUAGCCAGCAAAGAAAGCUUCAUGGACUUGAUACAUGGUAGACAUUGUUUUGAGAAACCCAAACAACAGAACUAAAAGGAUCAGAUUUCCAUGUUACUAUGGGAGUGACUGUGCAUGCUCAGGCUUGUGUGUGUACUCAUAAUCAAGGUGAACAAAGGCACGCUCUAUCUCUGGCAGCAGCUCAAGCUUCACUUGUAAGGAUUCCCCAAUAUCAUGAGCCUCUUGCAAGGGCAUGCUAGCAGGCAGUACAAUAUCAACCUCAACAAAGUAGUGAGAUCCAAAAGUGUAAGCACGAACGGUAUCGAUGUGUCUAACUGCUUUGUGAUGGUUCCAACAAAGGUAUGUGAGCUUUUUCAGAUAAUCUGGAGUAGCUGAUUUUCCAACAAGAGAAUUCACAUUUUCCAACACUGUCAUUGACCAUGUGCGAAUGGUGUACAAGGCCAGCUGCAGCAAUAUCAAAACUCAUUGUUGUAUGUAUGCACAAAUAUUUUUAGUUAAAACAGAAUCUCUUACAAUGUUAGUUUGAUUCAUCAAAACAGGCCUUUGUCAAUUUGAAGAAUCAAGUCAGUACUCUACACACAUAUAUAUCUUAUAGGGGUCAGCUUAACAUCAUGAACAAGAAAUCAUAAUCAAUUUAUUGCCCCUUAUUCUUAUAGAAGUCUUAACAUGUCAGAGUCCAAUAAGCAAUAUAUAGGUAAAACAAAGUAGCAAGCCAAAUUUACAAAAAGAAUACACAGUUUGCAGUGAAACAACUGCAGCUGCUUAUGUUAAUAAAUAAGUAGUAGAGAACUAUGUUAAUUACUAAAGAAAACCAUAUAAUUCCCUGCUUUUCAUAUACGGUAAUGGAGAAAAUGAUAACACGAAGGAGAGAGAGGAGGGAGGUGGGUUUACUCAC